Molecule: ribosomal RNA, 253 nt
Filed under: uncultured bacterium
Lineage: Bacteria
Description: partial 16S ribosomal RNA
Rfam family: Bacterial small subunit ribosomal RNA
Source: RNAcentral
UACGAAGGGGGCUAGCGUUGUUCGGAAUCACUGGGCGUAAAGGGCGCGUAGGCGGGUCUUUAAGUCAGGGGUGAAAUCCCGAGGCUCAACCUCGGAACUGCCUUUGAUACUGGGGAUCUCGAGUCCGGGAGAGGUGAGUGGAACUGCGAGUGUAGAGGUGAAAUUCGUAGAUAUUCGCAAGAACACCAGUGGCGAAGGCGGCUCACUGGCCCGAAACUGACGCUGAGGUGCGAAAGCGUAGGGAGCAAACAGG